RNAcentral lists this ribosomal RNA (484 nucleotides) under uncultured bacterium. RNAcentral describes it as "partial 16S ribosomal RNA". It matches the Rfam family "Bacterial small subunit ribosomal RNA", at positions 30 to 507 of the family's 1533-position model. The record is from RNAcentral.
AUUGAACGCUGGCGGCAUGCCUAACACAUGCAAGUCGAGCGGAUGAAGGGAGCUUGCUCCUGGAUUCAGCGUCGGACGGGUGAGUAAUGCCUAGGAAUCUGCCUGGUAGUGGGGGAUAACGUCCGGAAACGGGCGCUAAUUCCUCAUACGUCCUGAGGGAGAAAGUGGGGGAUCUUCGGACCUCACGCUAUCAGAUGACCCUCGGUCGGAUUAGCUAGUUGGUGGGGUAAAGGCCUACCAAGGCGACGAUCCUUAACUGGUUUGAGAGGAUGAUCAGUAAAACUGGAACGGAGAAAAGGUCCCGAUCACUACGGGAGGCAGCAGUGGGGAAUAUUGGACAAUGAGGGAAAGCCGGAUCAAGCAAUGCCGCGUGUGUGAAGAAGGUCUUCGGAUGGUAAAGCACUUUAAGUUGGGAGGAAGGGCAGUAAGUUAAUACCUUGCUGUUUUGACGUUACCAACAGAAUAAGCACCGGCUAACUUCGUG